RNAcentral lists this ribosomal RNA (413 nucleotides) under uncultured soil bacterium. RNAcentral describes it as "bacterial SSU rRNA". It matches the Rfam family "Bacterial small subunit ribosomal RNA", at positions 258 to 688 of the family's 1533-position model. The record is from RNAcentral.
UAACGGCCUACCAAGGCAUCGAUCGGUAGCUGGUCUGAGAGGACGAUCAGCCACACUGGGAUUGAGAACGGCCCAGACUCCUACGGGGGGCAGCAGUGAGGAAUUUUCCGCAAUGGGGGCAACCCUGACGGAGCAACGCCUCGUGCAGGAGGACGCUUUUCGGAGUGUAAACUGCUUUUCUGUGGGAAGAGAAUGGACGGUACCACAGGAAGAAGCCCCGGCUAACUACGUGCCAGCAGCCGCGGUAAUACGUAGGGUGCGAGCGUUGCUCGGAUUGACUGGGCGUAAAGGGCGCGUAGGCGGCUUGUACAGUCAGACGUGAAAUUCCUGGGCUCAACCUGGGGGCUGCGUUUGAUACGUGCGGGCUUGAGUUCGGAAGAGGGUCGUGGAAUUCCCAGUGUAGAGGUGAAAUU